GGGAGGUUGGCGGCGGACGUGUCCCUCGCCAACCGGGUCAGGUCCGGAAGGAAGCAGCCCUAACGAGCCAGAUGCGGGUCGUUUGUCAGCCUCCCACA
This 98-nucleotide signal recognition particle RNA is filed under the name Hyphomicrobiaceae bacterium. Its description in RNAcentral is "signal recognition particle sRNA small type". It matches the Rfam family "Bacterial small signal recognition particle RNA". From Rfam's summary of the family: The signal recognition particle (SRP) is a universally conserved ribonucleoprotein involved in the co-translational targeting of proteins to membranes. Archaeal SRP consists of a 7S RNA and homologues of the eukaryotic SRP19 and SRP54 proteins. The record is from RNAcentral. Lineage: Bacteria; Pseudomonadati; Pseudomonadota; Alphaproteobacteria; Hyphomicrobiales; Hyphomicrobiaceae.